GUGCCAGCCGCUGCGGUAAUACGUAGGGUGCGAGCGUUGUCCGGAAUUACUGGGCGUAAAAGAGCUCGUAGGUGGUUUGUCGCGUCGUCCGUGAAAACUUGGGGCUUAACCCCGAGCGUGCGGGCGAUACGGGCAGACUUGAGUACUGCAGGGGAGACUGGAAUUCCUGGUGUAGCGGUGAAAUGCGCAGAUAUCAGGAGGAACACCGGUGCGAAGGCGGGUCUCUGGGCAGUAACUGACGCUGAGGAGACGAAAGGCGUGGUAGCGAACGAGG
RNAcentral lists this ribosomal RNA (274 nucleotides) under uncultured Gordonia sp. RNAcentral describes it as "partial 16S ribosomal RNA". It matches the Rfam family "Bacterial small subunit ribosomal RNA", at positions 505 to 777 of the family's 1533-position model. The record is from RNAcentral. Lineage: Bacteria; Bacillati; Actinomycetota; Actinomycetes; Mycobacteriales; Gordoniaceae.